This is a small nucleolar RNA of Pistacia vera, 106 nucleotides long. RefSeq annotates it as small nucleolar RNA Z247. The record is from RefSeq and is a predicted model, not a curated record. The transcript has a single exon. NCBI's taxonomy places the organism in Eukaryota, Viridiplantae, Streptophyta, Magnoliopsida, Sapindales, Anacardiaceae.
GUUAUUACUGAUGAUGAACUGAUAAACUACAUAUUAGAUGGACUUGAUUUCGAAUAUGAUGCAGUAGUAGUAAAUGUUACCACUGGACUCGAAUCCAUAAUUGAUC